UGAUGUAAAUAAUUUGAAGUUUGACGUAUUAUGACAAAAGUCGUCGCUAGGGUCGUUACCUACAAAUUUAGUUGUUGCUUAUGUUUUGGCACACGCAAAGAAAACUGUUCAGAAUUCAAUUUCAAAAUCCUCAUUUUAAAAAUAAAUUAUAUC
This is a long non-coding RNA of Aricia agestis (brown argus), 153 nucleotides long. RefSeq lists it as uncharacterized. The transcript has 3 exons. The record is from RefSeq and is a predicted model, not a curated record. NCBI's taxonomy places the organism in Eukaryota, Metazoa, Arthropoda, Insecta, Lepidoptera, Lycaenidae.